UUUGGAAUGACCAGUGAUUUCAGCUCUCACUCCCUUCUCAUCAGCACGUGUCUACAGUUGCAAAAAAUUAUGCAGAAGAGCAGAUCAGAUUGACGCAGUUUGAUAAGGAUUCAGCCCACCAUUGCUGACUUUGAAGAUGAAGGAGAGGGACCAUGAGCCACAGAAAACCAGCAGCCUCUAGGAACUGGAAAAAGCAAGGAAAUGGAUUUUCCCCUAGAGCUUCAUCCUCCCUCCCAGCACAAGGUCUUAGCACUGUUUCAUCUUCCCAGAAGGCUUUUCCCUCUUCCACCCUGCUUCUAGGUUCUCACUCUGUAGCCCAGUCUGGAGUGCAGUGGUACAAUAAUGGCUCACUUCAGCUUUGACCUUCCAGGCUCAAGCGGUCCUUCUACCUCAGCCUCUGGAGCAACUGGAACCACGGGUGCACCCCACCACGCCCAGCUAACUUUUGUAUUUUUUUGUAGAGACAGGGUUUUGCCAUGUUGCUCAGUCCCAAUAUCAUCACCAGAUGAGAAUAUGUAUGGAUUCAUGAACAAGAAAAUUGCUU
Homo sapiens (human) is the source of this 544-nucleotide long non-coding RNA. Lineage: Eukaryota; Metazoa; Chordata; Mammalia; Primates; Hominidae. The record is from Ensembl.